Molecule: RNA transcript, 1924 nt
Organism: Rattus rattus (black rat)
Lineage: Eukaryota; Metazoa; Chordata; Mammalia; Rodentia; Muridae
Exons: 2
Source: RefSeq, a predicted model, not a curated record
AUGGUGAAUCUAAUGAGGAUUCCUUUCUCCUUCAGUGUCUUUAGGGGUUUUCAGAAUGAUAGCUGACUGUACCAAAGGUAAAAUUUGCAAUGGAGCCUAAUUGAUACUUCAUGGCUCCUUUAGAAUCUUCUAAAGACAAAAGGUGAGUUAUUGGGGCUAGAGAGAUGCCUCAUUUGCUCUUCCAGAGGACCCAGGGUUAAAGUCCCAGCACUCAUGUGUGGGUUCACACCUGUCUAUAACUCCAGUCCUAAGGGAUCCACCAUCUUCUUUUCCUCCACUGGCACCAGGCAUGUAUGUGGUACACACGCAUACAUGCAGACAAAACAUGCAUACACUUAAGAAAAAAACUAUAGUGUAUAGAAAAGUGAGUUAUUGCUUUAUUCACAACUGGCCACAGGCAGCCUUGGAAAUGAGGUGUGGAAAUGGCUCUAAUCAGUUCAGCAGAAGAGCAUCUGAACACUGAGAGCCUCUAUGCUCUGCCUCCCUAUUCAGUUUCCUGAUGUGACUAUUUAAAGUGAGAGCCAUGUGGUAUCUUACAGGACACUGUUUUACCUUUCGUCAAGGUUGCCUAACACAUCUCCAUGAAGAAGUGUUGGGUUGUUAAAGUAGUGUUUGUAUUACUUUGUUGUUUCUUUAAAAGUCACUUAUUUGCUUUUACUGAAGUUAAAUGCUGGGGCAGGCAUCAUGAACACUUGUAAUCCUGUGGUAUCUAGGUAUUAAGUGUAGCAGAGAAUAAUAAAAAAGGAUUUAGCUUCCUACACGGGUGGGCCACAUGGCACCAGCAAGGUGUUCUCUGGGUAGACCUCUAACCCUUUGUUCACAAAAUGUUUCCACCCGACUAGCUAAGUUCCCAUGGCAGGUUGGUACCAUGCCAGCCCCACACAUCCAAAUUCCAAGUGCCCCGUACCUUUCUCUUGAACUCAGUUGAGUUGUCGCAUGAAGGAAAACACCUCACAAACUUAGUUUAGAAUUAACCUGUAACUCAAUCGCUGGGUGCCAACUACUAACAUCCUAAUUAGUAAGCCAUACUAAGUUAAAUCCUCCUGAGUUUGAGGCCAGCCUGGGUUACCUAGUUUUCCAGGCCAGCCCUUGGUUACAAUGUGAGACUCCAUCUCAAAAAACCAACCAACCAACCACAAGAAGAAGAAAAAAAAAAGGAAAGAAAGGCUGAGAUCAGUCUGAGCUUGGAUCUAUGUUGUCCCAGAACUUGGGAGGCUGAGGCACGAGGAGCAUGAUUUCCAGACUAGGCUAAGCCACAUAGUAGCAAGACCACCUUUAAAAAAAAAAUGUGUGUCUAUACACACACAUAUACCUGGCAGAAGAUAAAAUGAGGGAAAAGUCCAGACAGUAGUAUGCAAGCUUACUGCCUUUAGACAUCCUGCAGACACAGGGCAGAGCCUAGACUUUAGGCUCUCAUGGUCUCUAGAAUAUUAUGAGCAAAGCACAAUGAUCAGUUGUUCUCAUACUUGAGUGCAUCUGGAGAUAGUUCAUAGUUAUGGCAGUCAAUAUUUCUUACUGAAAAGCUUUCCUUUUGUGGCAACAUUUUUAUAGGUUGUGUGAAUUCCUUUUUUUUAAUGACAUAAUACAGUAUUUUUGCACAGUUGUAACCAUGUGUGAUGGUGUCACUAUAACCAAAGUACAUGCACCAGCCCUUGUGCAUUUAUUGUUCCCUCUGGUAUUGUGCACUUAAAAUGUCCAAAUACAAACCUUUGUGACUGUGAAGAAUCUGGCAGCACAGCAUGCCCGUGACCUGCCUGCUGCAGUGUGAGCUGUGACCAUAAGCAGGCCCUGUAAAGUCCUAAGUUGCUCUUAGGCGAGUGGGUACAUUAUAAAAACAAAUUGUGUAACAAUAAAUCUACCUAAGCUAAAAGAACGUUUGUUUUAUGUGAACUUGUACAGUAAAUAAAGUGGAAGUUAUCAGUAA